UGUGAACUCGAAGAGUAGGGCGGGACACGUGGUAUCCUGUCUGAAUAUGGGGGGACCAUCCUCCAAGGCUAAAUACUCCUGACUGACCGAUAGUGAACCAGUACCGUGAGGGAAAGGCGAAAAGAACCCCGGCGAGGGGAGUGAAAAAGAACCUGAAACCGUGUACGUACAAGCAGUGGGAGCACCUUCGGGUGUGACUGCGUACCUUUUGUAUAAUGGGUCAGCGACUUAUAUUCUGUAGCAAGGUUAACCGUAUAGGGGAGCCGCAGGGAAACCGAGUCUUAACUGGGCGUUAAGUUGCAGGGUAUAGACCCGAAACCCGGUGAUCUAGCCAUGGGCAGGUUGAAGGUUGGGUAACACUAACUGGAGGACCGAACCGACUAAUGUUGAAAAAUUAGCGGAUGACUUGUGGCUGGGGGUGAAAGGCCAAUCAAACCGGGAGAUAGCUGGUUCUCCCCGAAAGCUAUUUAGGUAGCGCCUCGUGAACUCAUCUUCGGGGGUAGAGCACUGUUUCGGCUAGGGGGUCAUCCCGACUUACCAACCCGAUGCAAACUACGAAUACCGAAGAAUGUUAUCACGGGAGACACACGGCGGGUGCUAACGUCCGUCGUGAAGAGGGAAACAACCCAGACCGCCAGCUAAGGUCCCAAAGUCAUGGUUAAGUGGGAAACGAUGUGGGAAGGCACAGACAGCCAGGAUGUUGGCUUAGAAGCAGCCAUCAUUUAAAGAAAGCGUAAUAGCUCACUGGUCGAGUCGGCCUGCGCGGAAGAUGUAACGGGGCUAAACCAUGCACCGAAGCUGCGGCAGCGACACUAUGUGUUGUUGGGUAGGGGAGCGUUCUGUAAGCCUGCGAAGGUGUGCUGUGAGGCAUGCUGGAGGUAUCAGAAGUGCGAAUGCUGACAUAAGUAACGAUAAAGCGGGUGAAAAGCCCGCUCGCCGGAAGACCAAGGGUUCCUGUCCAACGUUAAUCGGGGCAGGGUGAGUCGACCCCUAAGGCGAGGCCGAAAGGCGUAGUCGAUGGGAAACAGGUUAAUAUUCCUGUACUUGGUGUUACUGCGAAGGGGGGACGGAGAAGGCUAUGUUAGCCGGGCGACGGUUGUCCCGGUUUAAGCAUGUAGGCUGAUUGUCCAGGCAAAUCCGGAUAAUCAAGGCUGAGGUGUGAUGACGAGGCACUACGGUGCUGAAGUAACAAAUGCCCUGCUUCCAGGAAAAGCCUCUAAGCAUCAGGUAACAU
RNAcentral lists this ribosomal RNA (1234 nucleotides) under Klebsiella pneumoniae. RNAcentral describes it as "partial 23S ribosomal RNA". It matches the Rfam family "Bacterial large subunit ribosomal RNA", at positions 398 to 1637 of the family's 2925-position model. Lineage: Bacteria; Pseudomonadati; Pseudomonadota; Gammaproteobacteria; Enterobacterales; Enterobacteriaceae. The record is from RNAcentral.